AAAUUGAAGAGUUUGAUCAUGGCUCAGAUUGAACGCUGGCGGCAGGCCUAACACAUGCAAGUCGAACGGUAACAGGAAGCAGCUUGCUGUUUCGCUGACGAGUGGCGGACGGGUGAGUAAUGUCUGGGAAACUGCCUGAUGGAGGGGGAUAACUACUGGAAACGGUAGCUAAUACCGCAUAACGUCGCAAGACCAAAGAGGGGGACCUUCGGGCCUCUUGCCAUCGGAUGUGCCCAGAUGGGAUUAGCUUGUUGGUGGGGUAACGGCUCACCAAGGCGACGAUCCCUAGCUGGUCUGAGAGGAUGACCAGCCACACUGGAACUGAGACACGGUCCAGACUCCUACGGGAGGCAGCAGUGGGGAAUAUUGCACAAUGGGCGCAAGCCUGAUGCAGCCAUGCCGCGUGUAUGAAGAAGGCCUUCGGGUUGUAAAGUACUUUCAGCGGGGAGGAAGGGAGUAAAGUUAAUACCUUUACUCAUUGACGUUACCCGCAGAAGAAGCACCGGCUAACUCCGUGCCAGCAGCCGCGGUAAUACGGAGGGUGCAAGCGUUAAUCGGAAUUACUGGGCGUAAAGCGCACGCAGGCGGUUUGUUAAGUCAGAUGUGAAAUCCCCGGGCUCAACCUGGGAACUGCAUCUGAUACUGGCAAGCUUGAGUCUCGUAGAGGGGGGUAGAAUUCCAGGUGUAGCGGUGAAAUGCGUAGAGAUCUGGAGGAAUACCGGUGGCGAAGGCGGCCCCCUGGACGAAGACUGACGCUCAGGUGCGAAAGCGUGGGGAGCAAACAGGAUUAGAUACCCUGGUAGUCCACGCCGUAAACGAUGUCGACUUGGAGGUUGUGCCCUUGAGGCGUGGCUUCCGGAGCUAACGCGUUAAGUCGACCGCCUGGGGAGUACGGCCGCAAGGUUAAAACUCAAAUGAAUUGACGGGGGCCCGCACAAGCGGUGGAGCAUGUGGUUUAAUUCGAUGCAACGCGAAGAACCUUACCUGGUCUUGACAUCCACGGAAGUUUUCAGAGAUGAGAAUGUGCCUUCGGGAACCGUGAGACAGGUGCUGCAUGGCUGUCGUCAGCUCGUGUUGUGAAAUGUUGGGUUAAGUCCCGCAACGAGCGCAACCCUUAUCCUUUGUUGCCAGCGGUCCGGCCGGGAACUCAAAGGAGACUGCCAGUGAUAAACUGGAGGAAGGUGGGGAUGACGUCAAGUCAUCAUGGCCCUUACGACCAGGGCUACACACGUGCUACAAUGGCGCAUACAAAGAGAAGCGACCUCGCGAGAGCAAGCGGACCUCAUAAAGUGCGUCGUAGUCCGGAUUGGAGUCUGCAACUCGACUCCAUGAAGUCGGAAUCGCUAGUAAUCGUGGAUCAGAAUGCCACGGUGAAUACGUUCCCGGGCCUUGUACACACCGCCCGUCACACCAUGGGAGUGGGUUGCAAAAGAAGUAGGUAGCUUAACCUUCUGGAGGGCGCUUACCACUUUGUGAUUCAUGACUGGGGUGAAGUCGUAACAAGGUAACCGUAGGGGAACCUGCGGUUGGAUCACCUCCUUA
This 1542-nucleotide ribosomal RNA is filed under the name Shigella flexneri. RNAcentral's name for it is "bacterial SSU rRNA". It matches the Rfam family "Bacterial small subunit ribosomal RNA". The record is from RNAcentral. Lineage: Bacteria; Pseudomonadati; Pseudomonadota; Gammaproteobacteria; Enterobacterales; Enterobacteriaceae.